RNAcentral lists this transfer RNA (72 nucleotides) under Toxocara canis (dog roundworm). It matches the Rfam family "tRNA". From Rfam's summary of the family: Transfer RNA (tRNA) molecules are approximately 80 nucleotides in length. Their secondary structure includes four short double-helical elements and three loops (D, anti-codon, and T loops). Further hydrogen bonds mediate the characteristic L-shaped molecular structure. tRNAs have two regions of fundamental functional importance: the anti-codon, which is responsible for specific mRNA codon recognition, and the 3' end, to which the tRNAs corresponding amino acid is attached (by aminoacyl-tRNA synthetases). tRNAs cope with the degeneracy of the genetic code in two manners: having more than one tRNA (with a specific anti-codon) for a particular amino acid; and 'wobble' base-pairing, i.e. permitting non-standard base-pairing at the 3rd anti-codon position. The record is from Rfam by way of RNAcentral. Lineage: Eukaryota; Metazoa; Nematoda; Chromadorea; Rhabditida; Toxocaridae.
GUGGCAGUAGCUGAGUGGUAGAGCUCCCGCUUCGUACGCGGGAAGGCCUGGGUUCCAUUUCCAGCUGCUUUC